GGGGCAGCAUGGGAGACCUCCGGGUCUUUCGAUGACGACCGGCGAAUGGGUGAGUAACGCGUAUCCAACCUGCCCUCGGCCCGGGCACAGCCCCUGGAAACGGGGAUUAACGCCCGAUAGGUGCUUUCGCCGCAUGGCGUUUGCAUGAAGCAGGCCGUGGAUGGGGAUGCGUUGGAUUAGCUUGCAGGCGGGGUGACGGCCCACCUGGGCGACGAUGGAUAGGGGUUCUGAGAGGAAGGUCCCCCACACUGGAACUGAGACACGGUCCAGACUCCUACGGGAGGCAGCAGUGAGGAAUAUUGGUCAAUGGGCGGAAGCCUGAACCAGCCAAGUAGCGUGCGGGAAGACGGCCCUACGGGUUGUAAACCGCUUUUGUCCGGGGAUAACCGGCCCCACGCGCUGGGGUCCUGCAGGUACCGGGCGAAUAAUGACCGGCUAAUUCCGUGCCAGCAGCCGCGGUAAUACGGAAGGUCAGGGCGUUAUCCGGAUUUAUUGGGUUUAAAGGGAGCGCAGGCGGGAGUUCAAGUCAGCCGUCAAAUGGCCCUGCUCAAC
Molecule: ribosomal RNA, 552 nt
Filed under: uncultured rumen bacterium
Lineage: Bacteria
Description: bacterial SSU rRNA
Rfam family: Bacterial small subunit ribosomal RNA
Source: RNAcentral